AGAGUUUGAAAAGGCUAAGUCGGAACAAGGUAAGACGAAGCAAGGUACUAGAGUUUGAUCUUGGCCAAGUCGUAACAAGGUAAGUAGUAACAAGGAAUGAGAGUUAGUCCGCAUUAAAGAUUGGGACAGGUAUGGGGAACCUUUGCUAAUACUUUUAUAGCUUUUUACUGAAACGGGUAAAAUUGCCUUUAGAUGAGCGCGCGUUUGAAUAGCUAGUUGGUGUGGUAAGAGCGCACCAAGGCAACGAUCAGUAGCUGGUCUGAGAGGACGACCAGCCACACUGGGACUGAGACACGGCCCAGACUCCUACGGGAGGCAGCAGUGAGGAAUUUUCCGCAAUGGGCGAAAGCCUGACGGAGCAAUACCGCGUGAGGGAGGAAGGUUCUUGGAUUGUAAACCUCUUUUCUCAGAGAAGAAUAAUGACGGUAUCUGAGGAAUAAGCAUCGGCUAACUCCGUGCCAGCAGCCGCGGUAAUACGGAGGAUGCAAGCGUUAUCCGGAAUGAUUGGGCGUAAAGGGUCUGUAGGUGGUUGUUCAAGUCUGCUGUUAAAGCGUUUGGCUUAACCAGAUAAAGGCGGUGGAAACUGAACGACUAGAGUGCGGUAGGGGUAGAGGGAAUUCCCAGUGUAGCGGUGAAAUGCGUAGAUCUUGGGAA
This 654-nucleotide ribosomal RNA is filed under the name uncultured bacterium. Its description in RNAcentral is "bacterial SSU rRNA". It matches the Rfam family "Bacterial small subunit ribosomal RNA", at positions 1 to 703 of the family's 1533-position model. The record is from RNAcentral.